RNAcentral lists this transfer RNA (85 nucleotides) under Chryseobacterium sp. RNAcentral's name for it is "tRNA-Trp". It matches the Rfam family "tRNA". From Rfam's summary of the family: Transfer RNA (tRNA) molecules are approximately 80 nucleotides in length. Their secondary structure includes four short double-helical elements and three loops (D, anti-codon, and T loops). Lineage: Bacteria; Pseudomonadati; Bacteroidota; Flavobacteriia; Flavobacteriales; Weeksellaceae. The record is from RNAcentral.
ACACAGAUGGCCGAAUGGUUAGGCAGCGGUCUCCAAAACCGUGAGAGUACUCUCAAUGUGGGUUCGAGUCCUACUCUGUGUGCAA